AGAAAAAUCCAGCCUGAAAUUCAUAUAGAGUCUCAAGGGAUCCCAAAUAGCCUGAACAAUCUUAAAAACAAAGAACAAAGCUGCAGGACACACAUUCCCUGAUUUAAAACUUAUCACAAAGCUACACAAUGAGACAGUGGUGCUGGCUCAGAGGAAGACAUAUAGCCCAAUGGGGCAGACAACCUGGAAAUAAACCCUCACAUCUAUGGUCAAGCGAUUUUCAACAAGGAACUGAAUGUAAGAGUUAAAGAUGUAAAACUCUUACAAGAAAUCAAAGGGUCAAAAUACAAAACUUUUAUAUAUGAAAGCAUAGUGUCAAGGAAGUGAGGCCAACCCAUAGAAUGUGAAAAAAAUACUUGCAAAUCAUACAUCUGAUAAGAAAAUAAUAACUAAAAUAUAUAAAGAAACCUAGAUGCAAUAACAAGAAGACAAAAACCCCAUUUGAAAAAUGAUUUAAGGACCUAAAUAGCUAUUCCUCCAAAGAAGACAUACAAACAUCGAACAAGCACAUGAAAAGAUGCUCAACUUCACUGCCAUCAGGAAAAUGCAAAACUGUUACCACUCCUAGUUACAUACAUGUUACCAAUGGGUAUGUGUCCAAAAUAAUGGCAAACGGACUCAGAUGACAUGCACAAGUGUGCUCACAGCAGCCCUCCUCCCAGUAGCUAAGCGGUGGGAACAACCCGGUGCCCAUCAGCAGAUGAACUGAUGAACAAAAUGGGGUAAAUCCACACAAUGGAAUAUUAUUAAGCCUUAAAAAUGAAUGGAGCUCUGAGAUACACCACAGCAUGGAUGAACCUUGAAGACAUUUGCUAAGUGAACAAAGGCAGACACAGGACAAAUACUGGAUGAUCCCACCUAUAGGACAUGCCUAGAAUAGGUGAAUUCUCGAGACAGAAAGUAGAAUCAUGUUCACCAUGGGCUGGGGAGGGGAAGUGAGCAAGUGUUUAGUGGGUACAGAGUUUGCUAUGAAAAACAGUUGUGAAAAUGAAUAGUGGUGAAGAUUGCAUAACAUCAUAAAUGUACACUUAAAAUGUUGAAAAGGCUAGAUAUUAUGUUAUGUAUAUUUUACCACAAAAAAAGGAAUGAAGUGCUGAUGCAUCUACAACAUGGAACCUGGCAACAUGAUGCUCGGUGAAAGAAGCAGGUCACAAAAGACAGGUACAGACAACCCCAUUUAGAUGCCCAGAGAGACAAACCCACAGAGACAAAGAGCAGGUCCCACAAGGGGGUGGGGGCUGCAGGGACACAGGUGGGUACACAGCUUCUUUGGGGGCAUGAUGGAAAUGCUCCAACAUUGAUUAUGGCGACAGUUGUUCAGUUUUCUGAAUAUACCAACAACCAUAGAAUUAUACACUUUAAAUGUAGGGAAUCUAAACAAUAGCUCAACAAAGCUAUUAUUUUUUAAAGGAAAAAGAUAUGCCAGGUUUAUCCUCGAUGCUUACCUAUUCCCAGUGGACCCCAUGUACGUGGAUCUCAUGCCCAAUCCAAGGAGCAGCAGCUAGGACUAAAGUAAGAUGUGGGAGCAUAUGCUCCUUGGAAUGUGGUGUUUUAUUUACAUGUCCCUGUUCUCUCCUAAUAUUACAAUACAGUCAUAUGAGACGUGGUGCCUAAUCAGUACUUGGUCUGUUAUUAGUUGUAGGCAGAGAAAAACCUUUCCUGUUUGGAAAGACCCUGAGAGGCCUGCACCAUCUCUGACCCCGGGAUAAUGGCCUCAUCUCAUGACAACGGCCUAAACCCACUAACACCCCUUCCAGGGCAGGACCACCCACAUUUCCAAAGUCUGUCUCUCAUCUGUCACAGGGAGGGUUAUUCUUUGUUGAAAAUCGAAUGAACUAAUCAAAUUCUCUCACUCUUUCUCAGUUUCAAAAUGAGAAAUCCACUACAGACUCCAGGAUCCAACACUGUCUCACCGAGGCUUUCUAGCUCAUGUAUCCAGAGGGCCAGGUGCCACCCAGCCCAGCCAGAGCCCUGCCCUGACCCUGACUCUGACCCUGACGUGGCCUCAGGGCGGGGAGCCCGGCUCUUCCUGAGGUCAGGCGUGCGGGCCCAUCUUCUUGCUCAUCACUCAGCUAUCUCCCUCCCUAAUGAGCACAGGGACCCACAAACCUUCAUGGGAAGCUGCUCAGUUGCCUGGGGACCCCAAGAAAUCGCUGCCUGGGUUUUCCUGAUACUUGCUCACACUGAAUACACCCACCAGUGCAGUGACUAAGCUCCCAGAGAAGCCCUGUCCCCAGUCCCGGCACAGCGCCGGCUGAACUGGCAUUUUCUCCUGCCCUCCCCCCAACCCUGGGCUGGGGGAAGUGGGGGGAGCCUGGAUGCAGGGACCAACCACAGGGAUGCUGCUUGUCCUGAUGAGGAGUCACUGUGGGCUUUUCCCCCAGAUCCAACUCUGAACAGGCAACAAGAACUUCUCCUAGUUCCCUCAUUCCUGUUCCGGGGAGACAGCGGCUGGUUUUAAUGAUCCUCAAAACCCCACAUUUCCCCAGAGGGUCCCUGAAAGAAGUCACCAGAACCUGCUGCCCAUUACACAACUCACAUAGAUCCUGGAGUCAGUGGCUUGGAGCCUUUCCUCAGUAAUCCAGGUGAGGGUCCCCCAUUGCCCUGCCAGUACCCCCCAAGUGGACCUGGGUUUCCCAGUUAGGCUGAUACACGGGCCAGCACUUCAGAUACAGGCACAUUACAGCAAGCGGCCUCCAGUCUCUUAGCGUGAUAGAAUCUAACAAGGGGCAUGAAUCGACCAAAAGAAAAAAAGAAAAUCUGGAAUCAGACUCCAGUGCCGGACAAAAGAUAAGCUUUUACCUUAAACCAAAAGCUGCCGUUGAAACUUGAGAAGACAGCAGAGCAGACAGCAGAAGGCUGCACUCUGAACUGUUAGGACCACGGCGGGGGCGCAGGGCGGGGUGGGGGCGGGGGCACGAGGAGAGGGAGCAGUCAUGUGCACGGCCACGCGCCUCCACAGACUCCAGACUGGCCGAGGCCCAAGGCACAGCCUAAACACAGAACAGGCUCCUCAAACAAGCUUCACCUGUGGGGACUCGAGCGUCCUACCCAGCAGUGCCUCUGCAGAAUUGCAGAUGGUUCUCACAUCCAUUUAACACGAGACUGAGAAUUGGGUGGUACAGGAAUUGCUCUGAGUUCCUGAUUUUUAUCAGGGACUGGAUGUACAAACAUCCCCUGUUUUCCAGGUGCUGUUCUGUAUAGGGGAGCCGUCUCUGACCUCUCGGGAGUAUGCACCCUGAGCUUGUUUUCUAGGAAGCCUCGAAGUACCCAGGGCUGUCUGCAUCAUCUUACCUGGUCUCCUUGGAAACCAUGACUUGCAGAACCUUCCUUUUCAGUAUAAAUUCUGCAACACCUCUUUCCCUGAUAUUCAGCACAGAGGCGUGAGCAGAACCAAUGUGUACAAAGAAGAACUAGAGGUGGCCUAUUGUAAAGACAGAUAUCAUGCAUAUAUACAUGCAUGGAUACAUACAUACACAAUUGGAAAGGAUUCACUUGGAUUGCAGAGUUUCCACUGCUAAUUUCAGUGGGUAUUUAUAUCAAAUUUUAAAACAUGCAUAUUCAAAUAAUGGCACCAUCACUAUGUGAUCCUGGACAAUCUUCCCAAGCACUGGGUGCUUUUCCAUGAAAAGGCAGGGAGAAGGACUAGACCAACAUCAAA
RNAcentral lists this long non-coding RNA (3661 nucleotides) under Sus scrofa (pig). Its description in RNAcentral is "lncRNA (ENSSSCG00035078839.1)". The record is from RNAcentral. Lineage: Eukaryota; Metazoa; Chordata; Mammalia; Artiodactyla; Suidae.